RNAcentral lists this long non-coding RNA (317 nucleotides) under Vulpes vulpes (red fox). Its description in RNAcentral is "lncRNA (ENSVVUG00000007727.1)". The record is from RNAcentral. Lineage: Eukaryota; Metazoa; Chordata; Mammalia; Carnivora; Canidae.
GCUAUGAUUAGAAGCAAAGGAGAUAACAAGGUCUCUGCACUGAAAAACCUUGUUAUAUACUUGACUUUAUUUUCCAUAGGACUCAGAACAUGAUAGGUUUACUUUCAAGAUCCUCCAGAUAUGCCCUCUUAAAAUUGGAUGAAGACUUGAGAGUGAUCCAAAAGAUGGGACACAUCAAGAUUCUGCCCUGGAGCCAUCUGUCCUCUCUGCUGAAUUUGGUAACAGACUGGAGAACUUAGCUGGUAAGGCUGUACAACUUUCAGAAGCACAUAUACAAAGAGAAAUGGCAGAGUGAAAUAUUGAGUUAAGGGCUCAAC